GCCAAUUCCAGACAAGUACGAUAAAUGUCUGUAUUGCUGGACCAAAUCUACAAUUCUUCCCUUUUUGGAAAAAAAAAAGCUGCCCUACCUUUUCAUUUUCUGCCAUGGAAUACAGCAGUGAGCAGAACUUCAUAAAAUAUUGUCACCAACCCCAAAACCAAAGACUUCCCAAUCUCCUGAACUGUAAGAAGUCCAUCUUCUGUCCUUUCUGAAUGUUCAGCACUUUGUGUGGGUCAGGGACCAAGCACAGCAAUCACUCUCAACAACUACCAACAUGCCUCAGUCACAAGAGGGACUGAGCUGUCACUUGCAGGAUCCUGGAAGAAGAGCCUUCUUGUCCCUAUUUCAACCUCAGGAUAGAAGCCAGGCUUCAAGGGUAGAAAUUCAUCUCCCACCUUGUAACAGCCACAGGUUGAUGGUCUCCCCGACACAGUAACGUGCCUGGAGCUCUUCAGAUGAGUAAGGCUAGAGGAAGAAUCCUUUCCUGUCUUUUCUGUAGGACUUCACACACUGCCUCAACUCUCAAAAUAUUCUUCCUCUGGAAAACAAGGAAAAUGUAAUUUCUUAUGAAAAUACCAAGAACUGCUGUUUUGAAAGGCUGCAGAGAAAUAAGAAAUAAGCACAAGCAAGCAAUAAAUCAUGGAAGCUGGAA
This is a long non-coding RNA of Mastomys coucha (southern multimammate mouse), 652 nucleotides long. RefSeq lists it as uncharacterized. NCBI's taxonomy places the organism in Eukaryota, Metazoa, Chordata, Mammalia, Rodentia, Muridae. The record is from RefSeq and is a predicted model, not a curated record. The transcript has 3 exons.